This 253-nucleotide ribosomal RNA is filed under the name uncultured bacterium. RNAcentral's name for it is "partial 16S ribosomal RNA". It matches the Rfam family "Bacterial small subunit ribosomal RNA", at positions 524 to 776 of the family's 1533-position model. The record is from RNAcentral.
UACGGAGGGUGCGAGCGUUAAUCGGAAUUACUGGGCGUAAAGCGCACGCAGGCGGUUUGUUAAGCUAGAUGUGAAAGCCCCGGGCUCAACCUGGGAUGGUCAUUUAGAACUGGCAGACUAGAGUCUUGGAGAGGGGAGUGGGAUUCCAGGUGUAGCGGUGAAAUGCGUAGAUAUCUGGAGGAACAUCAGUGGCGAAGGCGACUCCCUGGCCAAAGACUGACGCUCAUGUGCGAAAGUGUGGGUAGCGAACAGG